AGCAGCCGCGGUAAUUCCAGCUCCAAUAGCGUAUAUUAAAGUUGUUGCAGUUAAAAAGCUCGUAGUUGGAUUUCUGGUAGAGACCCAAUGUCAGCUUGUUGCUUGUGCAGCGGGUCUCUGCCAUCCUUCUGUUAACGUUUCUUGGUAUUCAUUUACUGGUUUCGGGCUCAGAUAUUUUACCUUGAGGAAAU
Molecule: ribosomal RNA, 191 nt
Filed under: uncultured Funneliformis
Lineage: Eukaryota; Fungi; Glomeromycota; Glomeromycetes; Glomerales; Glomeraceae
Description: partial 18S ribosomal RNA
Rfam family: Eukaryotic small subunit ribosomal RNA
Source: RNAcentral